Molecule: transfer RNA, 76 nt
Filed under: Syphrea sp. REN-2018
Lineage: Eukaryota; Metazoa; Arthropoda; Insecta; Coleoptera; Chrysomelidae
Description: tRNA-Tyr
Source: RNAcentral
GAUGAAAUGGCUGAGUUUAGGCAAUAAAUUGUAAAUUUAUUUACGAAUAGAAUUCUUUCAUCAAAUUUAUUUAAAU